Molecule: ribosomal RNA, 472 nt
Filed under: uncultured bacterium
Lineage: Bacteria
Description: bacterial SSU rRNA
Rfam family: Bacterial small subunit ribosomal RNA
Source: RNAcentral
UAGAGUUUGAUCAUGGCUCAGAACGAACGCUGGCGGCAGGCCUAACACAUGCAAGUCGAACGAGACCUUCGGGUCUAGUGGCGCACGGGUGCGUAACGCGUGGGAAUCUGCCCUUGGGUUCGGAAUAACUUCGGGAAACUGAAGCUAAUACCGGAUGAUGACGUAAGUCCAAAGAUUUAUCGCCCAAGGAUGAGCCCGCGUAGGAUUAGCUAGUUGGUGAGGUAAAGGCUCACCAAGGCGACGAUCCUUAGCUGGUCUGAGAGGAUGAUCAGCCACACUGGGACUGAGACACGGCCCAGACUCCUACGGGAGGCAGCAGUGGGGAAUAUUGGACAAUGGGCGAAAGCCUGAUCCAGCAAUGCCGCGUGAGUGAUGAAGGCCCUAGGGUUGUAAAGCUCUUUUACCCGGGAUGAUAAUGACAGUACCGGGAGAAUAAGCCCCGGCUAACUCCGUGCCAGCAGCCGCGGUAAUG